RNAcentral lists this ribosomal RNA (840 nucleotides) under uncultured bacterium. Its description in RNAcentral is "bacterial SSU rRNA". It matches the Rfam family "Bacterial small subunit ribosomal RNA", at positions 8 to 896 of the family's 1533-position model. The record is from RNAcentral.
AGGGUUUGAUCAUGGCUCAGAACGUACGCUGGCGGCACGCCUAACACAUGCAAGUCGAACGAAGUAGCAAUACUUAGUGGCAGACGGGUGAGUAACAUGUAGGUAUCUGCCCUUUGGCCUGGAAUAACACGAGGAAACUUGUGCUAAUACCGGAUAAGUCUUUACAGAGAAAGCUUUAUGCACCAUUGGAUGAGCCUGCACUUGAUUAGUUUGUUGGUGGGGUAAUGGCCUACCAAGACUGUGAUCAAUAGCUGAUUUGAGAGGAUGAUCAGCCACAUUGGGACUGAGACACGGCCCAAACUCCUACGGGAGGCAGCAGUGGGGAAUCUUGCACAAUGGAGGAAACUCUGAUGCAGCGAUGCCGCGUGAGUGAAGAAGGCCUUUGGGUUGUAAAGCUCUUUCGUCGGGGAAGAAAAUGACUGUACCCGAAUAAGAAGGUCCGGCUAACUUCGUGCCAGCAGCCGCGGUAAUACGAAGGGACCUAGCGUAGUUCGGAAUUACUGGGCUUAAAGAGUUCGUAGGUGGUUGAAAAAGUUGGUGGUGAAAUCCCAGAGCUUAACUCUGGAACUGCCAUCAAAACUUUUCAGCUAGAGUAUGAUAGAGGAAAGCAGAAUUUCUAGUGUAGAGGUGAAAUUCGUAGAUAUUAGAAAGAAUACCAAUUGCGAAGGCAGCUUUCUGGAUCAUUACUGACACUGAGGAACGAAAGCAUGGGUAGCGAAGAGGAUUAGAUACCCUCGUAGUCCAUGCCGUAAACGAUGUGUGUUAGACGUUGGAAAUUUAUUUUCAGUGUCGCAGCGAAAGCGAUAAACACACCGCCUGGGGAGUACGACCGCAAGGUUA